GAGGGUAUAGCUCAAGUGGUAGAAUACAUGCUUAGCAUGCAGGAGGUCCUGGGUUCAAUCCCCAGUACCUCCA
This is a transfer RNA of Camelus ferus (Wild Bactrian camel), 73 nucleotides long. It matches the Rfam family "tRNA". Rfam says of the family: Transfer RNA (tRNA) molecules are approximately 80 nucleotides in length. NCBI's taxonomy places the organism in Eukaryota, Metazoa, Chordata, Mammalia, Artiodactyla, Camelidae. The record is from Rfam.